Phrynosoma platyrhinos (Desert horned lizard) is the source of this 72-nucleotide non-coding RNA. The record is from the annotation of a GenBank genome assembly. NCBI's taxonomy places the organism in Eukaryota, Metazoa, Chordata, Lepidosauria, Squamata, Phrynosomatidae.
GCCAAUGUGGUGUAGUGUUUUGAGCACUGGUCUAUUACUCUGGGGGCCAGGGUUCAAAUCCCUUCUCGGUCA